Non-coding RNA from Xyrichtys novacula (pearly razorfish), 23706 nucleotides. Lineage: Eukaryota; Metazoa; Chordata; Actinopteri; Labriformes; Labridae. The record is from the annotation of a GenBank genome assembly.
CACUGUACCAAAUUUUAUCUGUGUAGAGCGAAGUGAGUUGCCACAAUCCUUUUGUAAAGACAAAGUUUUGAGGAUCAAUUUUCAGCCUGUCUCACUCUAGCUGUGAGGUCACCCACUCUAGCUGCCAACAUUCCGUGCAAUACACACUAAUGUUAAAACCUGAACAGGUCUGAAAAUCUUUGGACUUUUUGAACUGUCACUGUGAGAAAAGUAUGAAUGCCAUGAAGAUGGUGAAUGAAUGAGUGAAUGUCUGAAGAUGUGUGAAUAUUUUAAAGUUUGAAUGAAGUUUCUAGGUGAAAGUAUGAAUGAAUGAGAAGAGGUUGAAGUUGACUACGUCUGAAAGCCUUUUCCCAUUGAAUCCCAUUAUAACGAAGUUUUAAACAAAUCUUAAUAUUUUGAAAAGUACAAAUGGGAUUAAAAAUGUUGAAGAUGUGGAAUAAUGCUGACGAAUUUGUGAAUAUUUUGGUUUUUGAAUGAAGUUUCUACUUGGAAGUAUAGUGGAGUUGAAGGCUUUUGAAGUUGUGUGAAGAAAAUGUGAGAAAAGGGCCAAUUUGAACAUUCCGUAAUGCAUUUCCAAUGGGAGAAAUCGGUCGGAAAACCUGGAAUAUCUCGGAAAGUAUGAAUGUUAGGAAAUUUUUGAAUACAAGCCGGAAUCUCCUGAAUGAGACGAAUCUUUUGAAGUUUGAAUGGUUUGAAUACGUUGAAGUAUGUGGAAGGAGAAGCGGUCCAAAAAACGGUGGAAGAAUAAUAAUAAUAAAGAUAUGAAUAACAUAUAGUGGGAAUGCUUCGCAAUCCCACUCAAUAAAGAAACGGGAGAAUAACAAUAAGUGGAAAUGCCUAUCAGCAUUUCCACUUAACUAGAAAAAUUGCAUUUCCUUGCAGAAAAUGCGUGGAAAUGCUGAGUGCUGAAAGCUGAAAAAGCAAUGCUAAACUGCUAAUAAAACAUGGAGAAAUGUAUAAAUGUUAAAGCUGUUGAAGGGGUGUGAAAGAAAUGUAAGUUGGAUAAUUGAUUAAUUGGUUGAAGGACAAAUAGUAUGAAUAUGCUCUAUAAAAAGAAAUUUUAUUCAUGCUGAAAGAGGCAAGAAAAAUGUCUAAAAUUGCACAAAGUUUGAAUGAAGAAGGAAAUUGCCUUAAAAGGCAGGAAGGUGGGAAGUGGCAUAAGUUUAAUUUUUUAAGUAUUAGAAAGGUUUGAAUCAGUUCAAAUUAGUUUGAAAAAUUAAAUGAUAAAUCAUCACUGAGUGACUUUAAAAUGUGAAAAAUCUAAAUGUAUAUAAAUCCUAAAUACACCCCAUAAUGUCCUCAAUGAGCUCAAAUUUUAAAGCCCUGAAUGGUUUCUGUAGGUCAAAGGUCAUGUGAGGAGAUAGGGGCUGAAGUUUUUUCAAGCGCUCUAGUAAAGGGUUUUAAGUGUCAUCCCCAGUGCUAUGUGUGCUGAGCCUGGCUUCAUGUGUCUCAUAUGGCCAUUAGAAGCAGCUUUCCAGUCAGCUGUGUGUCUCCAGGUGCACUAAUUGGUUGCCAUGGGGACCUUGGAUGCAUAACUAUAGCAGGAGAAAGAAGGCUUGAAGCUAAGGAAACAGGACUCCAAGUAGGCCCUGACGCUCAUCCUCUGUAUAUAUUCAUAAGGAGCUUGUGAGAACACAAGACUCUGCUGAACACAUUAAUACAAUUUAUUAUCACAAUCCUCAAAACACCCCAUAAUAUCUUCAAUGAGCUGAAUUUUUCAAGCCCAGAAUGGUUUCUGUAGCUCAAAGUUUGUGGGUGGAGAUAGGUGGUGAAGCAGACACAUAUUACCUGUGUGUACAAGCAGGUGAACUGCAAGGUAGACCUGACAAUGCAACAAGUACAAGAAUGUGUGUGUGUGUGUGUGUGUGUCUCAUUAAUGACUGCAUCCCUAACAGCUGUGAGAUCAAAGGCAAAUCACUGACCUACUGUUUGAAUGAGAAGCAGCUGAACUGCUGAGGAUUUAUAGCCUGUGAACUUCUUCACAUAGCGUGAUUUCCUUAAGUCCCAGAAUGAAAAUAAGAACAUCGUACGAAUCCUCCGUCCUUCAUGAACACAAUGAUGUGUUUUUCAUUUCUGUACUUCGAAAAAUGAGGCCACAACAGCGAGUUAAAAAAGUCUGAGCCUGAGUGAUGAUCCGGAUUUUCUUGGAGAAAAAUAACAUUAGGGCCAAUGGGGAGAGAUUUGCGCCUAUUUGGACAGUUGGUCACCUGCUGGCCAAGGGGUACGAGUUAAUGAUUUGAAACCUCAUUAGUGAGAAGCAGGACACAUAUACCUCCAUUUUGAUGUAUUUUUUGUGUCUGUGGAGUGAGAUUUGUGGGCGUGGGAGCGAUAUAUUCGAGCGAGGUUCUGUCGAUCAGAGACGAGGUCUGCACUCUAGCUGAUGACAUCAUCACUCUAAACUCUCCAAUACACACCCGUUAUAAAGCUUGAAAUUUGCUGAAAACCACAAGUUGCUUAAAGCUAAAUUGUGGAAAAACUGUAAAAGAUAUCAAAAAACUGAGUACAACUAUAAUAGUCGACAAGUGAAUGAACAUUUUAAAGCAAAAAUGAGGUCUCUAGGUGAAAGUAUGCUAGAGUUAUAAGGUCUAGAAGGUGGAAGAAAAAAAGGAAGAAGUGGAAGAUUUCCCCAUUGACUUCAAUGUUAAAAUUUUUGCACAAAAAGUUAAAAAAAUCAAAAAGUAUAAAGGGUAGAAAAGUGAAAAGUAAUAGCACACAUGUCCUGAAGGAGUAGAAUAGUUUAAAGUUUGAAUGGUUGAAAUCGGACAAAGAUUGAAGGAGGAGAAGCGCGACAAAAAACGGCGGAAGAAUAAAAAUAAUAAUAAGAUUAAAGAAACGGGAGAAUAACAAUAAGUGGAAAUGCUUAAUCAGCAUUUCCACUUAACUAGAAAAAUUGCAUUUCCUUGCAGAAAAUGCGUGGAAAUGCUGAGUGCUGAAAGCUGAAAAAGCAAUGCUAAACUGCUAAUAAAACAUGGAGAAAUGUAUAAAUGUUAAAGCUGUUGAAGGGGUGUGAAAGAAAUGUAAGUUGGAUAAUUGAUUAAUUGGUUGAAGGACAAAUAGUAUGAAUAUGCUCUAUAAAAAGAAAUUUUAUUCAUGCUGAAAGAGGCUAGAAAAAUGUCUAAAAUUGCACAAAGUUUGAAUGAAGAAGGAAAUUGCCUUAAAAGGCAGGAAGGUGGGAAGUGGCAUAAGUUUAAUUUUUUAAGUAUUAGAAAGGUUUGAAUCAUUUCAAAUUAGUUUGAAAAAUUAAAUGAUGAAUCAUCACUGAGUGACUUUAAAAUGUGAAAAAUCUAAAUGUAUAAAAAUCCUAAAUACACCCCAUAAUGUCCUCAAUGAGCUCAAAUUUUAAAGCCCUGAAUGGUUUCUGUAGGUCAAAGGUCAUGUGAGGAGAUAGGGGCUGAAGUUUUUUCAAGCGCUCUAGUAAAGGGUUUUAAGUGUCAUCCCCAGUGCUAUGUGUGCUGAGCCUGGCUUCAUGUGUCUCAUAUGGCCAUUAAAAGAAGCUUUCUAGUCAGCUGUGUCUCCAGGUGCACAAAUUGGUUGCCAUGGGGACCUUGGAUGCAUAACUAUAGCAGGAGAAAGAAGGCUUGAAGCUAAGGAAACAGGACUCCAAGUAGGCCCUGACGCUCAUCCUCUGUAUAUAUUCAUGAUAAGGAGCUUGUGAGAACCACAAAAACUGCUGAACACAUUAAUACAAUUUAUUAUCAAAAUCCUCAAAACACCCCAAAAUGUCCUCAAUGAGCUGAAUUUUUCAAGCCCAGAAUGGUUUCUGUAGCUCAAAGUUUGUGGGUGGAGAUAGGUGGUGAAGCAGACACAUAUUAUCUGUGUGUACAAGCAGGUGAACUGCAAGGUAGACCUGACAAUGCAACAAGUACAAGAAUGUGUGUGUGUGUGUGUGUGUGUGUGUCUCAUUAAUGACUGCAUCCCUAACAGCUGUGAGAUCAAAGGCAAAUCACUGACCUACUGUUUGAAUGACAAGCAGCUGAACAGCAGAGGAUUUGAAGCCUGUGAACUUCUUCACAUAGCGUGAUUUCCUUAAGUCCCAGAAUGAAAAUAAGAACAUCGUACGAAUCCUCCGUCCUUCAUGAACACAAUGAUGUGUUUUUCAUGUCUGUACUCCGAAAAAUGUGGCCACAACAGCGAGUUAAAAAAGUCUGAGCCUGAGUGACGAUAAGGAUUUUCUUGGAGAAGAAAUACAUUAGGGCCAAUGGGGAGAUAUUUGCGCCUAUCUGGACAGUUGGUCACCUGCUGGCCAAGGGGUACGAUUUAAUGAUUUGAAACCUCUUUUGUGAGAAGCAGGACACAUAUACCUCCAUUUUGAUGUAUUAUUUAUGGCUGUGGAGUGAGAUUUGUGGGCGUGGGAGCGAUAUAUUCGAGCGAGGUUCUGUCGAUCAGAGACGAGGUCUGCACUCUAGCUGAUGACAUCAUCACUCUAAACUCUCCAAUACACACCCAUUAUAAAGCUUAAAAUUUGCUGAAAAACACAAGUUGCUUAAAGCUAAAUUGUGGAAAAACUGUAAGAGAUAUCAAAAAACUGAGUACAACUUUAAUAGUCGACAAGUGAAUGAACAUUUUAAAGCAAAAAUGAGGUUUCUAGGUGAAAGUAUGCUGAAGUUAUAAGGUCUAGAAGGUGGAAGAAUAAAAGGAAGGAGUGGAAGAUUUCCCCAUUGACUUUAAUGUUAAAAUUUUUGCACAAAAAGUUAAAAAAAUCAAAAAGUAUAAAAGGUAGAAGAGUGAAAAGUAAUAGCCAUAAUGUCCUGAAGGAAUGGAAUAGUUUAAAGUUUGAACGGUUGAAAUCGGACAAAGUUUGAAGGAGGAGAAGCGGUCCAAAAAAGGGACGGAAGAAUAAUAAUAAUAAAGAAAAAUGGCCGACAGGAAUAACAAUAAGUGGAAAUGCUUAAUCAGCAUUUCCACUUAACUAGAAAAAUUGCAUUUCCUUGCAGAAAAUGCGUGGAAAUGCUGAGUGCUGAAAGCUGAAAAAGCAAUGCUAAACUGCUAAUAAAACAUGGAGAAAGGUAUAAAUGUUAAAGCUGUUGAAGGGGUGAAAAAGAAAUAUAAGUUGGAUAAUUGAUUAAUUGGUUGAAGGACAAAUAGUAUGAAUAUGCUCUAUAAAAGGAAAUUUUAUUCAUGCUGAAAGAGGCUAGAAAAAUGUCGAAAAUUGCACAAAGUUUGAAUGAAGAAGGAAAUUGCCUUAAAAGGCAGGAAGGUGAGAAGUGGCAUAAGUUUAAAUUGUAGUACUAGAAGUAGUAUGAUAAGAAGUCAAGUCGUGAUACUAGUAGUCAUGUCAGCAGUAGAAGUAGAUUGAGAAUAAAAGAAGUAUAAGUCAAAGUAGUAAAGAAAGUAGAAAUAGGAGCAAUAGCAGUUGAAGUAGAGGGGAAAGUUCUAGUUUAAUUGACAUUAGCAGUAGUUGUCGUACUUGAGGUAGGAUUUUGUUUGAAUGAUGGAGUAAUGCAUAAAUAUUAAAACUAAUUUAAAACAGGGAAAUUUUAAAUUUUUAAAAGUCCUCAAGUAUCAGAAAGUUUUGAAGUAUUAGAAAGGUUUGAAUCAGUUUGAAUGAGUUUAAAUUAGUUUGAAAAAUUAAAUGAUAAAUCAUCACUGACUGACUUUUAAAAUGUGAAAAAUUUAAAUGAAUAACAAUCCUAAAUACACCCAAUAAUGUCCUCAAUGAGCUUAAAUUUCAAAGCCCUGAAUGGUUUCUGUAGGUCAAAGGUCAUGUGAGGAGAUAGGGGCUGAAGUUUUUUCCAACGCUUUAGGAAAGGGUUUUAAGUGUCAUCCCAAUUGCUAUGUGUACUGAGCCUGGCUUCAUGUGUCUCAUAUGGCCACUAGAAGCAGCUUUCCAGUCAGCUGUGUGUCUCCAGGUGCACAAAUUGGUUGCCAUGGGGACCUUGGAUGCAUAACUAUAGCAGGAGAAAGAAGGCUUGAAGCUAAAGAAACAGGACUCCAAGUAGGCCCUGACGCUCACCCUCUGUAUAUAUUCAUAAGGAGCUUGUGAGAACACAAGACUCUGCUGAACACAUUAAUACAAUUUAUUAUCACAAUCCUCAAAACACCCCAUAAUAUCUUCAAUGAGCUGAAUUUUUGAAGCCCAGAAUGGUUUCUGUAGCUCAAAGUUUGUGGGUGGAGAUAGGUGGUGAAGCAGACACAUAUUAACUGUGUGUACAAGCAGCUGAACUGCAAGGUAGACCUCACAAAGCAACAAGUACAAGAAUGUGUGUGCGUGUGUGUGUGUGUGUGUUCUCGUUAAUGACUGCAUCCUAAACAGCUGUGAGAUCAAAGGCAAAUCACUGACCUACUGUUUGAAUGAGAAGCUGCUGAACUGCAGUGAAUUUAGCCUGUGAACUUCUUCACAUAGCGUGAUUUCCUUAAGUCCCAGAAUGAAAAUAAGAACAUCGUACGAAUCCUCCGCCCUUCAUGAACACAAUGAUGUGUUUUUCAUGUCUGUACUCCGAAAAAUGUGGCCACAACAGCGAGUUAAAAAAGUCUGAGCCUGAGUGACGAUCAGGAUUUUCUUGGAGAAAAAUACAUUAGAGCCAAUGGGGAGAGAUUUCCGCCUAUUUGGACAGUUGGUCACCUGCUGGCCAAGGGGUAAGAUUUAAUGAUUUGAAACCUCUUUUGUGAGAAGCAGGACACAUAUACCUCCAUUUUGAUGUAUUUUUUAUGGCUGUGGAGUGAGAUUUGUGGGCGUGGGAGCGAUAUAUUCGAGCGAGGUUCUGUCGAUCAGAGAGGAGGUCUGCACUCUAGCUUUUCAAAUCAUCACUCUAGCCUCUCCAAUACACCCCUAUUAUAAAGCCUGAAAUUUGCUGAAAACCACGAGUUGCAUAAAGCUAAAUUGUGGAAAAACUGUAAAAGAUAGCACAAAAAGGUUAAUACAACAUCAAUAGUCGACAAGACAAUGAACAUUUUAAAGCAAAAAUGAGGUCUCUAGGUGAAAGUAUGCUGAAGUUAUAAGGCUUAGAAGGUGGACGAAUAACAGGAAGAAUUGGAAGAUUUCCCCAUUCAUUUCUAUGGGAAAAAAGUUUGGCACAAAAAGUGAAAAAUAAUAAAAAGUACAAAGGAUAGAAAGGAAAAAAAUACAAGCACACAUGUCCUGAUGGAGUGGAAUAGUUUAAAGUUUGAACGGUUGAAAUCGGACAAAGUUUGAAGGAGGAGAAGCGGUCCAAAGAAACGUAUGGGGAGAGUGUUAAGUAUAAUACUAGAAAAAUUGCAUUUCCUUGCAGAAAAUGCGUGGAAAUGCUGAGUGCUGAAAGCUGAAAAAGCAAUGCUAAACUGCUAAUAAAACAUGGAGAAAGGUAUAAAUGUUAAAGCUGUUGAAGGGGUGAACAGAAAUAUAAGUUGGAUAAUUGAUUAAUUGGUUGAAGGACAAAUAGUAUGAAUAUGCUCUAUAAAAGGAAAUUUUAUUCAUGCUGAAAGAGGCUAGAAAAAUGUCUAAAAUUGCACAAAGUUUGAAUGAAGAAGGAAAUUGCCUUAAAAGGCAGGAAGGUGAGAAGUGGCAUAAGUUUAAUUUUUUAAGUAUUAGAAAGGUUUGAAUCAGUUUGAAUCAGUUCAAAUUAGUUUGAAAAAUUAAAUGAUAAAUCAUCACUGAGUGACUUUAAAAUGUGAAAAAUCUAAAUGUAUAUAAAUCCUAAAUACACCCCCUAAUGUCCUCAAUGAGCUCAAAUUUUAAAGCCCUGAAUGGUUUCUGUAGGUCAAAGGUCAUGUGAGGAGAUAGGGGCUGAAGUUUUUUCAAGCGCUCUAGUAAAGGGUUUUAAGUGUCAUCCCCAGUGCUAUGUGUGCUGAGCCUAGCUUCAUGUGUCUCAUAUGGCCAUUAGAAGCAGCUUUCCAGUCAGCUGUGUGUCUCCAGGUGCACUAAUUGGUUGCCAUGGGGACCUUGGAUGCAUAACUAUAGCAGGAGAAAGAAGGCUUGAAGCUAAGGAAACAGGACUCCAAGUAGGCCCUGACACUCAUCCUCUGUAUCUAUUCCUGAUAAGGAGCUUGUGAGAACACAAGACUCUGCUAAACACAUUAAUACAAUUUAUUAUCACAAUCCUCAAAACACCCCAUAAUAUCUUCAAUGAGCUGAAUUUUAGAAGCCCAGAAUGGUUUCUGUAGCUCAAAGUUUGUGGGUGGAGAUAGGUGGCGAAGCAGACACAUAUUAACUGUGUGUACAAGCAGCUGAACUGCAAGGUAGACCUCAUAAAGCAACAAGUACAAGAAUGUGUGUGUGUGUGUGUGUGUGUGUGUCGUUAAUGACUGCAUCCUAAACAGCUGUGAGAUCAAAGGCAAAUCACUGACCUACUGUUUGAAUGAGAAGCAGCUGAACUGCAGAGGAUUUAGAGGCUCUAAACUUCUUCACAUAGCGUGAUUUCCUUAAGUCACAGAAUGAAAAUAAGAACAUCGUACGAAUCCUCCGCCCUUCAUGAACACAAUGAUGUCUUUUUCAUGUCUGUACUUCGAAAAAUGAGGCCACAACAGCGAGUUAAAAAAGUCUGAGCCUGAGCGAUGAUCCGGAUUUUCUUGGAGAAAAAUAACAUUAUGGUCAAUGGGAGAGAUUUCCGCCUUUUUUGGACAGUUGGUCACCUGCUGGCCAAGGGGUAGGAUUUAAUGAUUUGAAACCUCUUUUGUGAGAAGCAGGACACAUAUACCUCCAUUUUGAUGUAUUAUUUGUGUCAGUGGAGUGAGAUUUGUGGGCGUGGGAGCGAUAUAUUCGAGCGAGGUUCUGUCGAUCAGAGACGAGGUCUGCACUCUAGCUGAUGACAUCAUCACUCUAAACUCUCCAAUACACACCCAUUAUAAAGCUUGAAAUUUGCUGAAAACCACAAGUUGCUUAAAGCUAAAUUGUGGAAAAACUGUAAGAGAUAUCAAAAAACUGAGUACAACUGUAAUAGUCGACAAGUGAAUGAACAUUUUAAAGCAAAAAUGAGGUCUCUAGGUGAAAGUAUGCUGAAGUUAUAAGGUCUAGAAGGUGGAAGAAUAAAAGGAAGAAGUGGAAGAUUUCCCCAUUGACUUCAAUGUUAAAAUUUUUGCACAAAAAGUUAAAAAAAACAAAAAGUAUAAAGGGUAGAAAAGUGAAAAGUAAUAGCAAACGUGUCCUGAAGGAGUGGAAUAGUUUAAAGUUUGAACGGUUGAAAUCGCACAAACUGGGAAGGAGUUGAAAGCGGACGAAAAACGGCGGAAAAAAUAAUAAUAAUAAUAAUAAUAAUAAUAAAGAAACGGGAGAAUAACAAUAAGUGGAAAUGCCUAUCAGCAUUUCCACUUAACUAGAAAAAUUGCAUUUCCUUGCAGAAAAUGCGUGGAAAUGCUGAGUGCUGAAAGCUGAAAAAGCAAUGCUAAACUGCUAAUAAAACAUGGAGAAAGGUAUAAAUGUUAAAGCUGUUGAAGGGGUGAGAAAGAAAUGUAAGUUGGAUAAUUGAUUAAUUGGUUGAAGGACAAAUAGUAUGAAUAUGCUCUAUAAAAGGAAAUUUUAUUCAUGCUGAAAGAGGCUAGAAAAAUGUCUAAAAUUGCACAAAGUUUGAAUGAAGAAGGAAAUUGCCUUAAAAGGCAGGAAGGUGGGAAGUGGCAUAAGUUUAAUUUUUUAAGUAUUAGAAAGGUUUGAAUCAGUUUCAAUCAGUUCAAAUUAAUUUGAAAAAUUAAAUGAUAAAUCAUCACUGAGUGACUUUAAAAUGUGAAAAAUCUAAAUGUAUAUAAAUCCUAAAUACACACCAUAAUGUCCUCAAUGAGCUCAAAUUUUAAAGCCCUGAAUGGUUUCUGUAGGUCAAAGGUCAUGUGAGGAGAUAGGGGCUGAAGUUUUUUCAAGCGCUCUAGUAAAGGGUUUUAAGUGUCAUCCCCAGUGCUAUGUGUGCUGAGCCUGGCUUCAUGUGUCUCAUAUGGCCAUUAGAAGCAGCUUUCCAGUCAGCUGUGUGUCUCCAGGUGCACUAAUUGGUUGCCAUGGGGACCUUGGAUGCAUAACUAUAGCAGGAGAAAGAAGGCUUGAAGCUAAGGAAACAGGACUCCAAGUAGGCCCUGACGCUCAUCCUCUGUAUCUAUUCCUGAUAAGGAGCUUGUGAGAACACAAGACUCUGCUAAACACAUUAAUACAAUUUAUUAUCACAAUCCUCAAAACACCCCAUAAUAUCUUCAAUGAGCUGAAUUUUAGAAGCCCAGAAUGGUUUCUGUAGCUCAAAGUUUGUGGGUGGAGAUAGGUGGCGAAGCAGACACAUAUUAACUGUGUGUACAAGCAGCUGAACUGCAAGGUAGACCUCAUAAAGCAACAAGUACAAGAAUGUGUGUGUGUGUGUGUGUGUGUGUCUCGUUAAUGAUUGCUUCCUAAACAGCUGUGAGAUCAAAGGCAAAUCACUGACCUACUGUUUGAAUGAGAAGCAGCUGAACUGCAGAGGAUUUAGAGGCUCUAAACUUCUUCACAUAGCGUGAUUUCCUUAAGUCCCAGAAUGAAAAUAAGAACAUCGUACGAAUCCCCCGUCCUUCAUGAACACAAUGAUGUGUUUUUCAUGUCUGUACUUCGAAAAAUGAGGCCACAACAGCGAGUUAAAAAAGUCUGAGCCUGAGCGAUGAUCCGGAUUUUCCUGGAGAAAAAUAACAUUAUGGUCAAUGGGAGAGAUUUCCGCCUUUUUUGGACAGUUGGUCACCUGCUGGCCAAGGGGUACGAUUUAAUGAUUUGAAACCUCUUUUGUGAGAAGCAGGACACAUAUACCUCCAUUUUGAUGUAUUAUUUGUGUCAGUGGAGUGAGAUUUGUGGGCGUGGGAGCGAUAUAUUCGAGCGAGGUUCUGUCGAUCAGAGACGAGGUCUGCACUCUAGCUGAUGACAUCAUCACUCUAAACUCUCCAAUACACACCCAUUAUAAAGCUUGAAAUUUGCUGAAAACCACAAGUUGCUUAAAGCUAAAUUGUGGAAAAACUGUAAGAGAUAUCAAAAAACUGAUUACAACUAUAAUAGUCGACAAGUGAAUGAACAUUUUAAAGCAAAAAUGAGGUCUCUAGGUGAAAGUAUGCUGAAGUUAUAAGGUCUAGAAGGUGGAAGAAUAAAAGGAAGAAUUGGAAGAUUUCCCCAUUGACUUCAAUGUUAAAAUUUUUGCACAAAAAGUUAAAAAAAACAAAAAGUAUAAAUGUUAGAAAAGUGAAAAGUAAUAGCAAACGUGUCCUGAAGGAGUGGAAUAGUUUAAAGUUUGAACGGUUGAAAUCGGACAAACUGGGAAGGAGUUGAAAGCGGACGAAAAACGGCGGAAGAAUAAUAAUAAUAAAGAAACGGGAGAAUAACAAUAAGUGGAAAUGCUUAAUCAGCAUUUCCACUUAACUAGAAAAAUUGCAUUUCCUUGCAGAAAAUGCGUGGAAAUGCUGAGUGCUGAAAGCUGAAAAAGCAAUGCUAAACUUCUAAUAAAACAUGGAGAAAGGUAUAAAUGUUAAAGCUGUUGAAGGGGUGAAAAAGAAAUAUAAGUUGGAUAAUGGUCUAAUUGGUUGAAGGACAAAUAGUAUGAAUAUGCUCUAUAAACGGAAAUUUUAUUCAUGCUGAAAGAGGCUAGAAAAAUGUCUAAAAUUGCACAAAGUUUGAAUGAAGAAGGAAACUGCCUUAAAAGGCAGGAAGGUGAGAAGUGGCAUAAGUUUAAGUUGUAGUACUAGAAGUAGUAUAAGAGGUCAAGUCGUGAUACUAGUAGUCAUGUCAGCAGUAGAAGUAGUUUGAGAAUAAAAGAAGUAUAAGUCACAGUAGUAGAGAAAGUAGAAAUAGUAGCAAUAGCAGCAGUAGAGAAAGUAGAAAUAGGAGCAAUAGCAGUUGAAGUAGAGGGGAAAGUUCUAGUUCAAUUGACAUUAGCAGUAGUUGUAUUACUUGAGGUAGGAUUUUGUUUGAAGGAUGGAGUAAUGCAUAAAUAUUAAAACUAAUUUAAAACAGGGAAAAUUUAAAUAAUUAAAAAUCCUCAAGUAUCAGAAAGUUUUAAAGUAUUAGAAAGGUUUGAAUCAGUUUGAAUGAGUUUAAAUUAGUUUGAAAAAUUAAAUGAUAAAUCAUCACUGAGUGACUUUAAAAUGUGAAAAAUUUAAAUGAAUAUAAAUCCUGAAUACACCCCAUAAUGUCCUCAAUGAGCUUAAAUUUUAAAGCCCUGAAUGGUUUCUGUAGGUCAAAGGUCAUGUGAGGAGAUAGGGGCUGAAGUUUUUUCAAGCGCUCUAGGAAAGGGUUUUAAGUGUCAUCCCCAGUGCUAUGUGUACUGAGCCUGGCUUCAUGUGUCUCAUAUGGCCACUAGAAGCAGCUUUCCAGUCAGCUGUGUGUCUCCAGGUGCACAAAUUGGUUGCCAUGGGGACCUUGGAUGCAUAACUAUAGCAGGAGAAAGAAGGCUUGAAGCUAAAGAAACAGGACUCCAAGAAGGCCCUGACGCUCACCCUCUGUAUAUAUUCAUAAGGAGCUUGUGAGAACACAAGACUCUGCUGAACACAUUAAUACAAUUUAUCACAAUCCUCAAAACACCCCAUAAUAUCUUCAAUGAGCUGAAUUUUUGAAGGCCAGAAUGGUUUCUGUAGCUCAAAGUUUGUGGGUGGAGAUAGGUGGUGAAACAGACACAUAUUAACUGUGUGUACAAGCAGCUGAACUGCAAGGUGGACCUCAAAAAGCAACAAGUACAAAAAUGUGUGUGCGUGUGUGUGUGUGUGUGUGUCUCGUUAAUGACUGCAUCCUAAACAGCUGUGAGAUCAAAGGCAAAUCACUAACCUACUGUUUGACUGAGAGGUGCUGAACUGCAGUGAAUUUCAGCCUGUGAACUUCUUCACAUAGCGUGAUUUCCUUAAGUCCCAGAAUGAAAAUAAGAACAUCGUACGAAUCCUCCGUCCUUCAUGAACACAAUGAAGUAUUUUUCAUGUCUGUACUCCGACAAAUGUGGCCACAACAGCGAGUUAAAAAAGUCUGAGCCUGAGUGACGAUAAGGAUUUUCUUGGAGAAGAAAUACAUUAGGGCCAAUGGGGAGAUAUUUGCGCCUAUCUGGACAGUUGGUCACCUGCUGGCCAAGGGGUAGGAUUUAAUGAUUUGAAACCUCUUUUGUGAGAAGCAGGACACAUAUACCUCCAUUUUGAUGUAUUAUUUGUGUCAGUGGAGUGAGAUUUGUGGGCGUGGGAGCGAUAUAUUCGAGCGAGGUUCUGUCGAUCAGAGACGAGGUCUGCACUCUAGCUGAUGACAUCAUCACUCUAAACUCUCCAAUACACACCCAUUAUAAAGCUUGAAAUUUGCUGAAAACCACAAGUUGCAUAAAGCUAAAUUGUGGAAAAACUGUAAGAGAUAUCAAAAAUCUGAGUACAACUAUAAUAGUCGACAAGUGAAUGAACAUUUUAAAGCAAAAAUGAGGUCUCUAGGUGAAAGUAUGCUGAAGUUAUAAGGUCUAGAAGGUGGAAGAAUGAAAGGAAGAAGUUGAAGAUUUCCCCAUUGACUUCAAUGUUAAAAUUUUUGCACAAAAAGUUAAAAAAAACAAAAAGUAUAAAGGGUAGAAAGAAAAAAAAUACACGCCAUCAUGUCCUGAAGGAGUGGAAUAGUUUAAAGUUUGAACGGUUGAAAUCGGACAAAGUUUGAAGGAGGAGAAGCGGUCCAAAAAAGGGACGGAAGAAUAAUAAUAACUAGAAAAAUUGCAUUUCCUUGCAGAAAAUGCGUGGAAAUGCUGAGUGCUGAAAGCUGAAAAAGCAAUGCUAAACUGCUAAUAAAACAUGGAGAAAGGUAUAAAUGUUAAAGCUGUUGAAGGGGUGAAAAAGAAGUAUAGUAAGUAAGGACAAAUAGUAUGAAUAUGCUCUAUAAAAGGAAAUUUUAUUCAUGCUGAAAGAGGCUAGAAAAAUGUCGAAAAUUGCACAAAGUUCGAUUGAAGAAGGAAAUUGCCUUAAAAGGCAGGAAGGUGAGAAGUGGCAUAAGUUUAAGUUGUAGUACUAGAAGUAGUAUGAUAAGAAGUCAAGUCGUGAUACUAGUAGUCAUGUCAGCAGUAGAAGUAGUUUGAGAAUAAAAGAAGUAUAGCAAUAGCAGUUGAAGUAGAGAAAGUAGAAAUAGGAGCAAUAGCAGUUGAAGUAGAGGGGAAAGUCGUACUUGAGGUAGGAUUUUGUUUGAAGGAUGGAGUAAUGCAUGAAUAUUAAAACUAAUUUAAAACAUGGAAAAUUUAAAUACUUAAAAAUCCUCAAGAAUCAGUUUGAAUGAGUUUAAAUUAGUUUGAAAAAUUUAAUGAUAAAUCAUCAAUGAGUGACUUAUAAAAGUGAAAAAUGUAAAUGAAUAUAAAUCCUGAAUACACCCCAUAAUGUCCUCAAUGAGCUUAAAUUUUAAAGCCCUGAAUGGUUUCUGUAGGUCAAAGGUCAUGUGAGGAGAUAGGGGCUUAGGUUUUUUCAAGCGCUCUAGGAAAGGGUUUUAAGUGUCAUCCCCAGUGCUAUGUGUACUGAGCCUGGCUUCAUGUGUCUCAUUUGGCCAUUAGAAGCAGCUUUCCAGUCAGCUGUGUGUCUCCAGGUGCACAAAUUGGUUGCCAUGGGGACCUUGGAUGCAUAACUAUAGCAGGAGAAAGAAGGCUUGAAGCUAAGGAAACAGGACUCCAAGUAGGCCCUGACGCUCAUCCUCUGUAUAUAUUCAUGAUAAGGAGCUUGUGAGAACACAAGACUCUGCUGAACACAUUAAUACAAUUUAUUAUCACAAUCCUUAAAACACCCCAUAAUAUCUUCAAUGAGCUGAAUUUUUGAAGCCCAGAAUGGUUUCUGUAGCUCAAAGUUUGUGGGUGGAGAUAGGUGGUGAAGCAGACACAUAUUAACUGUGUGUACAAGCAGGUGAACUGCAAGGUAGACCUGACAAUGCAACAAGUACAAGAAUGUGUGUGUGUGUGUGUGUGUGUGUGUGUGUGUGUGUGUGUGUCUCGUUAAUGAUUGCAUCCUAAACAGCUGUGAGAUCAAAGGCAAAUCACUGACCUACUGUUUGAAUGAGAAGUGCUGAACUGCUGAGGAUUUAUAGCCUCUGAACUUCUUCACAUAGCGUGAUUUCCUUAAGUCCCAGAAUGAAAAUAAGAACAUCGUACGAAUCCUCCGCCUUCAUGAACACAAUGAUGUGUUUUUCAUGUCUGUACUCCGAAAAAUGUGGCCACAACAGCGAGUUAAAAAAGUCUGAGCCUGAGUGGGGAUAAGGAUUUUCUUGGAGAAGAAAUACAUUAGGUCUAAUGGGGAGAGAUUUCCGCCUAUUUGGACAGUUGGUCACCUGCUGGCCAAGGGGUACGAUUUAAUGAUUUGAAACCUCUUUUGUGAGAAGCAGGACACAUAUACCUCCAUUUUGAUGUAUUUUUUAUGGCUGUGGAGUGAGAUUUGUGGGCGUGGGAGCGAUAUAUUCGAGCGAGGUUCUGUCGAUCAGAGACGAGGUCUGCACUCUAGCUUUUCAAAUCAUCACUCUAGCCUCUCCAAUACACCCCCAUUAUAAAGCCUGAAAUUUGCUGAAAACCACAAGUUGCUUAAAGCUAAAUUGUGGAAAACUGUAAAAGAUAGCACAAAAAAGUUAAUACAACAUCAAUAGUCGACAAGACAAUGAACAUUUUAAAGCAAAAAUGAGGUCUCUAGGUGAAAGUAUGCUGAAGUUAUAAGGCUUAGAAGGUGGAAGAAAAAAGGAAGAAUUGAAGAUUUCCCCAUUCAUUUCUAUGGGAAAAAAAGUUUGAGACAAAAAGUGAAAAAUAAUAAAAAGUAUAAAGGGUAGAAAAGAGAAAAGUAAUAGCCAUCAUGUCCCGAUGGAGUGUAAUAGUUUAAAGUUUGAACGGUUGAAAUCGGACAAAGUUUGAAGGAGGAGAAGCGGUCCAAAGAAACGUAUGGGGAGAGUGUUAAGUAUAAUACUAGAAAAAUUGCAUUUCCUUGCAGAAAAUGCGUGGAAAUGCUGAGUGCUGAAAGCUGAAAAAGCAAUGCUAAACUGCUAAUAAAACAUGGAGAAAGGCAUAAAUGUUAAAGCUGUUGAAGGGGUGAAAAAGAAAUAUAAGUUGGAUAAUAGUUUAAUUGGUUGAAGGACAAAUAGUAUGAAUAUGCUCUAUAAAAGGAAAUUUUAUUCAUGCUGAAAGAGGCUAGAAAAAUGUCUAAAAUUGCACAAAGUUUGAAUGAAGAAGGAAACUGCCUUUAAAAGGCAGGAAGGUGAGAAGUGGCAUAAGUUUAAGUUGUAGUACUAGAAGAAGUAUGAUAAGAAGUCAAGUCGUGAUACUAGUAGUCAUGUCAGCAGUAGAAGUAGAUUGAGAAUAAAAGAAGUAUAAGUCAAAGUAGUAAAGAAAGUAGAAAUAGUAGCAAUAGCAGCAGUAGAGAAAGUAGAAAUAGGAGCAAUAGCAGUUGAAGUAGAGGGGAAAGUUCUAGUUUAAUUGACAUAAGUAGUUGUAGUACUAGAGGUAGGAUUUUGUUUGAAGGACGGAAUAAUGCAUAAAUAUUAAAACUAAUAUAAAACAGGGAAAAUUUUAUUAAUUAAAAAUCCUCAAGUAUCAGACAGUUUUUAAGUAUUAGAAAGGUUUGAAUCAUUUUGAAUGAGUUUAAAUUAGUUUGAAAAAUUAAAUGAUAAAUAAUCACUGAGUGACUUUAAAAUGUGAAACAUUUAAAUGAAUAUAAAUCCUAAAUACACCCCAUAAUGUCCUCAAUGAGCUUAAAUUUUAAAGCCCUGAAUGGUUUCUGUAGGUCAAAGGUCAUGUGAGGAGAUAGGGGCUGAAGGUUUUUCAAGCGCUCUAGGAAAGGGUUUUAAGUGUCAUCCCCAGUGCUAUGUGUACUGAGCCUGGCUUCAUGUGUCUCAUAUGGCCAUUAGAAGCAGCUUUCCAGUCAGCUGUGUGUCUCCAGGUGCACAAAUUGGUUGCCAUGGGGACCUUGGAUGAAUAACUAUAGCAGGAGAAAGAAGGCUUGAAGCUAAGGAAACAGGACUCCAAGUAGGCCCUGACGCUCAUCCUCUGUAUAAAUUCAUAAGGAGCUUGUGAGAACACAAGAUUUUGCUGAACACAUUAAUACAAUUUAUUAUCACAAUCCUCAAAACACCCCAUAAUAUCUUCAAUGAGCUGAAUUUUUCAAGCCCAGAAUGGUUUCUGUAGCUCAAAGUUUGUGGGUGGAGAUAGGUGGUGAAGCAGACACAUAUUAUCUGUGUGUACAAGCAGGUGAACUGCAAGGUAGACCUGACAAAGCAACAAGUACAAGAAUGUGUGUGUGUGUGUGUGUGUGUCUCAUUAAUGACUGCAUCCCUAACAGCUGUGAGAUCAAAGGCAAAUCACUGACCUACUGUUUGAAUGACAAGCAGCUGAACAGCAGAGGAUUAGAAGCCUGUGAACUUCUUCACAUAGCGUGAUUUCCUUAAGUCCCAGAAUGAAAAUAAGAACAUCGUACGAAUCCUCCGUCCUUCAUGAACACAAUGAUGUGUUUUUCAUGUCUGUACUCCGAAAAAUGUGGCCACAACAGCGAGUUAAAAAAGUCUGAGCCUGAGUGACGAUAAGGAUUUUCUUGGAGAAGAAAUACAUUAGGGCCAAUGGGGAGAUAUUUGCGCCUAUCUGGACAGUUGGUCACCUGCUGGCCAAGGGGUACGAUUUAAUGAUUUGAAACCUCUUUUGUGAGAAGCAGGACACAUAUACCUCCAUUUUGAUGUAUUAUUUGUGUCAGUGGAGUGAGAUUUGUGGGCGUGGGAGCGAUAUAUUCGAGCGAGGUUCUGUCGAUCAGAGACGAGGUCUGCACUCUAGCUGAUGACAUCAUCACUCUAAACUCUCCAAUACACACCCAUUAUAAAGCUUGAAAUUUGCUGAAAACCACAAGUUGCAUAAAGCUAAAUUGUGGAAAAACUGUAAAAGAUAUCAAAAAACUGAGUACAACUAUAAUAGUCGACAAGUGAAUGAACAUUUUAAAGCAAAAAUGAGGUCUCUAGGUGAAAGUAUGCUGAAGUUAUAAGGUCUAGAAGGUGGAAGAAUAAAAGGAAGAAUUGGAAGAUUUCCCCAUUGACUUCAAUGUUAAAAUUUUUGCACAAAAAGUUAAAAAAAACAAAAAGUAUAAAGGGUAGAAAGAAAAAAAAUACACGCAAUAAUGUCCUGAAGGAGUGGAAUAGUUUAAAGUUUGAAUGGUUGAAAUCGGACAAAGUUUGAAGGAGGAGAAGCGGUCCAAAAAAGGGACGGAAGAAUAAUAAUAAUAAGUUUAAUAAAGAAACGGGAGAAUAACAAUAAGUGGAAAUGCCUAUCAGCAUUUCCACUUAAUAAUAAUAAUAAUAAUAAAGAAACGGGAGAAUAACAAUAAGUGGAAAUGCUUAAUCAGCAUUUCCACUUAACUAGAAAAAUUGCAUUUCCUUGCAGAAAAUGCGUGGAAAUGCUGAGUGCUGAAAGCUGAAAAAGCAAUGCUAAACUGCUAAUAAAACAUGGAGAAAGGUAUAAAUGUUAAAGCUGUUGAAGGGGUGAACAGAAAUAUAAGUUGGAUAAUUGAUUAAUUGGUUGAAGGACAAAUAGUAUGAAUAUGCUCUAUAAAAGGAAAUUUUAUUCAUGCUGAAAGAGGCUAGAAAAAUGUCUCAAAUUGCACAAAGUUUGAAUGAAGAAGGAAAUUGCCUUAAAAGGCAGGAAGGUGAGAAGUGGCAUAAGUUUAAAUUGUAGUACUAGAAGUAGUAUGAUAAGAAGUCAAGUAGUGAUACUAGUAGUCAUGUCAGCAGUAGAAGUAGAUUGAGAAUAAAAGAAGUAUAAGUCAAAGUAGUAAAGAAAGUAGAAAUAGGAGCAAUAGCAGUUGAAGGAGAGGGGAAAGUUCUAGUUUAAUUGACAUUAGCAGUAGUUGUUGUACUUGAGGUAGGAUUUUGUUUGAAUGAUGGAGUAAUGCAUAAAUAUUAAAACUAAUUUAAAACAGGGAAAUUUUAAAUUAUCAAAAGUCCUCAAGUAUCAGAAAGUUUUGAAGUAUUAGAAAGGUUUGAAUCAGUUUGAAUGAGUUUAAAUUAGUUUGAAAAAUUAAAUGAUAAAUCAUCACUGACUGAGUUUUAAAAUGUGAAAAAUUUAAAUGAAUAUAAAUCCUAAAUGCACCCAAUAAUGUCCUCAAUGAGCUUAAAUUUCAAAGCCCUGAAUGGUUUCUGUAGGUCAAAGGUCAUGUGAGGAGAUAGGGGCUGAAGUUUUUUCCAACGCUCUAGGAAAGGGUUUUAAGUGUCAUCCCCAGUGCUAUGUGUACUGAGCCUGGCUUCAUGUGUCUCAUAUGGCCAUUAGAAGCAGCUUUCCAGUCAGCUGUGUGUCUCCAGGUGCACAAAUUGGUUGCCAUGGGGACCUUGGAUGCAUAACUAUAGCAGGAGAAAGAAGGCUUGAAGCUAAAGAAACAGGACUCCAAGUAGGCCCUGACGCUCAUCCUCUGUAUAUAUUCAUAAGGAGCUUGUGAGAACACAAGACUCUGCUGAACACAUUAAUACAAUUUAUUAUCACAAUCCUCAAAACACCCCAUAAUAUCUUCAAUGAGCUGAAUUUUUGAAGCCCAGAAUGGUUUCUGUAGCUCAAAGUUUGUGGGUGGAGAUAGGUGGUGAAGCAGACACAUAUUAACUGUGUGUACAAGCAGCUGAACUGCGAGGUGGACCUCAAAAAGUAACAAGUACAAGAAUGUGUGUGCGUGUGUGUGUCGUUAAUGACUGCAUCCUAAACAGCUGUGAGAUCAAAGGCAAAUCACUAACCUACUGUUUGACUGAGAGGUGCUGAACUGCAGUGAAUUUCAGCCUGUGAACUUCUUCACAUAGCGUGAUUUCCUUAAGUCCCAGAAUGAAAAUAAGAACAUCGUACGAAUCCUCCGUCCUUCAUGAACACAAUGAUGUGUUUUUCAUGUCUGUACUUCGAAAAAUGAGGCCACAACAGCGAGUUAAAAAAGUCUGAGCUUGAGCGAUGAUCCGGAUUUUCUUGGAGAAAAAUAACAUUAGGUCAAUGGGAGAGAUUUCCGCCUUUUUGGACAGUUGGUCACCUGCUGGCCAAGGGGUACGAUUUAAUGAUUUGAAACCUCUUUUGUGAGAAGCAGGACACAUAUACCUCCAUUUUGAUGUAUUAUUUGUGUCAGUGGAGUGAGAUUUGUGGGCGUGGGAGCGAUAUAUUCGAGCGAGGUUCUGUCGAUCAGAGACGAGGUCUGCACUCUAGCUGAUGACAUCAUCACUCUAAACUCUCCAAUACACACCCAUUAUAAAGCUUGAAAUCUGCUGAAAACCACAAGUUGCUUAAAGCUAAAUUGUGGAAAAACUGUAAAAGAUAUCAAAAAACUGAGUACAACUAUAAUAGUCGACAAGUGAAUGAACAUUUUAAAGCAAAAAUGAGGUCUCUAGGUGAAAGUAUGCUGAAGUUAUAAGGUCUAGAAGGUGGAAGAAAAAAAGGAAGAAGUGGAAGAUUUCCCCAUUGACUUCAAUGUUAAAAUUUUUGCACAAAAAGUUAAAAAAAUCAAAAAGUAUAAAGGGUAGAAAAGUGAAAAGUAAUAGCACACAUGUCCUGAAGGAGUGGAAUAGUUUAAAGUUUGAAUGGUUGAAAUCGGACAAAGUUUGAAGGAGGAGAAGCGUGACAAAAAACGGCGGAAGAAUAAUAAUAAUAAGACUAGAAAAAUUGCAUUUCCUUGCAGAAAAUGCGUGGAAAUGCUGAGUGCUGAAAGCUGAAAAAGCAAUGCUAAACUGCUAAUAAAACAUGGAGAAAGGUAUAAAUGUUAAAGCUGUUGAAGGAAUGAAAAAGAAAAAUAAGUUGGAUAACUACUUAAUUGGUUGAAGGACAAAUAGUAUGAAUAUGCUCUAUAAAAGGAAAUUUUAUUCAUGCUGAAAGAGGCUAGAAAAAUGUCUAAAAUUGCACAAAGUUUGAAUGAAGAAGGAAAUUGCCUUAAAAGGCAGGAAGGUGAGAAGUGGCAUAAGUUUAAAUUGUAGUAUAAGAAGUCAAGUCGUGAUACUAGUAGUCAUGUCAGCAGUAGAAGUAGAUUGAGAAUAAAAGAAGUAUAAGUCAAAGUAGUAAAGAAAGUAGAAAUAGGAGCAAUAGCAGUUGAAGUAGAGGGGAAAGUUCUAGUUUAAUUGACAUUAGCAGUAGUUGUCGUACUUGAGGUAGGAUUUUGUUUGAAUGAUGGAGUAAUGCAUAAAUAUUAAAACUAAUUUAAAACAGGGAAAAUUUAAAUUAUCAAAAGUCCUCAAGUAUCAGAAAGUUUUGAAGUAUUAGAAAGGUUUGAAUCAGUUUGAAUGAGUUUAAAUUAGUUUGAAAAAUUAAAUGAUAAAUCAUCACUGACUGAGUUUUAAAAUGUGAAAAAUUUAAAUGAAUAACAAUCCUAAAUACACCCAAUAAUGUCCUCAAUGAGCUUAAAUUUCAAAGCCCUGAAUGGUUUCUGUAGGUCAAAGGUCAUGUGAGGAGAUAGGGGCUGAAGUUUUUUCCAACGCUCUAGGAAAGGGUUUUAAGUGUCAUCCCAAUUGCUAUGUGUACUGAGCCUGGCUUCAUGUGUCUCAUAUGGCCACUAGAAGCAGCUUUCCAGUCAGCUGUGUGUCUCCAGGUGCACAAAUUGGUUGCCAUGGGGACCUUGGAUGCAUAACUAUAGCAGGAGAAAGAAGGCUUGAAGCUAAAGAAACAGGACUCCAAGUAGGCCCUGACGCUCACCCUCUGUAUAUAUUCAUAAGGAGCUUGUGAGAACACAAGAUUUUGCUGAACACAUUAAUACAAUUUAUUAUCACAAUCCUCAAAACACCCCAUAAUAUCUUCAAUGAGCUGAAUUUUUCAAGCCCAGAAUGGUUUCUGUAGCUCAAAGUUUGUGGGUGGAGAUAGGUGGUGAAGCAGACACAUAUUAUCUGUGUGUACAAGCAGGUGAACUGCAAGGUAGACCUGACAAUGCAACAAGUACAAGAAAUGUGUGUGUGUGUGUGUCUCAUUAAUGACUGCAUCCCUAACAGCUGUGAGAUCAAAGGCAAAUCACUGACCUACUGUUUGAAUGAGAAGCAGCUGAACAGCAGAGGAUUUGAAGCCUGUGAACUUCUUCACAUAGCGUGAUUUCCUUAAGUCCCAGAAUGAAAAUAAGAACAUCGUACGAAUCCUCCGUCCUUCAUGAACACAAUGAUGUGGUUUUCAUGUAUGUACUCCGAAAAAUGUGGCCACAACAGCGAGUUAAAAAAGUCUGAGCCUGAGUGGGGAUAAGGAUUUUCUUGGAGAAGAAAUACAUUAGGUCUAAUGGGGAGAGAUUUCCGCCCAUUUGGACAGUUGGUCACCUGCUGGCCAAGGGGUAGGAUUUAAUGAUUUGAAACCUCUUUUGUGAGAAGCAGGACACAUAUACCUCCAUUUUGAUGUAUUAUUUAUGGCUCUGGAGUGAGAUUUGUGGGCGUGGGAGCGAUAUAUUCGAGCGAGGUUCUGUCGAUCAGAGACGAGGUCUGCACUCUAGCUGAUGACAUCAUCACUCUAAGCCUCUCCAAUACACACCCAUUAUAAAGCCUGAAAUUUGCUGAAAACCACAAGUUGCAUAAAGCUAAAUUGUGGAAAAACUGUAAAAGAUAGCACAAAAAGGUUAAUACAAUAUCAACAGUCGACAAGACAAUGAAUAUUUUAAAGCAAAAAUGAGGUCUCUAGGUGAAAGUAUGCUGAAGUUAUAAGGCUUAGAAGGUGGACGAAUAGCAGGAAGCAUUGAAAGAUUUCCCCAUUCAUUUCUAUGGGAAAAAAAGUUUGGCACAAAAAGUGAAAAAUAAUAAAAAGUAUAAAGGGUAGAAAAGAGAAAAGUAAUAGCCAUCAUGUCCUGAAGGAGUGGAAUAGUUUAAAGUUUGAACGGUUGAAAUCGGACAAAGUUUGAAGGAGGAGAAGCGGUCCAAAGAAACGUAUGGGGAGAGUGUUAAGUAUAAUACUAGAAAAAUUGCAUUUCCUUGCAGAAAAUGCGUGGAAAUGCUGAGUGCUGAAAGCUGAAAAAGCAGUGCUAAACUGCUAAUAAAACAUGGAGAAAGGUAUAAAUGUUAAAGCUGUUGAAGGGGUGAAAGAAAUAUAAGUUGGAUAAUUGAUUAAUUGGUUGAAGGACAAAUAGUAUGAAUAUGCUCUAUAAAAGGAAAUUUUAUUCAUGCUGAAAGAGGCUAGAAAAAUGUCGAAAAUUGCACAAAGUUUGAAUGAAGAAGGAAAUUGCCUUAAAAGGCAGGAAGGUGAGAAGUGGCAUAAGUUUAAAUUGUAGUACUAGAAGUAGUAUGAUAAGAAGUCAAGUCGUGAUACUAGUAGUCAUGUCAGCAGUAGAAGUAGAUUGAGAAUAAAAGAAGUAUAAGUCAAAGUAGUAAAGAAAGUAGAAAUAGGAGCAAUAGCAGUUGAAGUAGAGGGGAAAGUUCUAGUUUAAUUGACAUUAGCAGUAGUUGUCGUACUUGAGGUAGGAUUUUGUUUGAAUGAUGGAGUAAUGCAUAAAUAUUAAAACUAAUUUAAAACAGGGAAAUUUUAAAUUAUCAAAAGUCCUCAAGUAUCAGAAAGUUUUGAAGUAUUAGAAAGGUUUGAAUCAGUUUGAAUGAGUUUAAAUUAGUUUGAAAAAUUAAAUGAUAAAUCAUCACUGACUGACUUUUAAAAUGUGAAAAAUUUAAAUGAAUAACAAUCCUAAAUACACCCAAUAAUGUCCUCAAUGAGCUUAAAUUUCAAAGCCCUGAAUGGUUUCUGUAGGUCAAAGGUCAUGUGAGGAGAUAGGGGCUGAAGUUUUCCAACGCUCUAGGAAAGGGUUUUAAGUGUCAUCCCAAUUGCUAUGUGUACUGAGCCUGGCUUCAUGUGUCUCAUAUGGCCACUAGAAGCAGCUUUCCAGUCAGCUGUGUGUCUCCAGGUGCACAAAUUGGUUGCCAUGGGGACCUUGGAUGCAUAACUAUAGCAGGAGAAAGAAGGCUUGAAGCUAAAGAAA